Molecule: ribosomal RNA, 322 nt
Filed under: uncultured eukaryote
Lineage: Eukaryota
Description: partial 18S ribosomal RNA
Rfam family: Eukaryotic small subunit ribosomal RNA
Source: RNAcentral
CCCUUAGAUGUUCUGGGCCACACGCGCGCUACACUGAUGCAUUCAACGAGUGUACCUUGGCCGAGAGGCCUGGGCAAUCUUUUGAACGUGCAUCGUGAUAGGGAUAGAUUAUUGCAAUUAUUAAUCUUGAACGAGGAAUUCCUAGUAAACGCAGUUCAUCAAACUGCAUUGAUUACGUCCCUGCCCUUUGUACACACCGCCCGUCGCACCUACCGAUUGGAUGGUCCGGUGAAGCCUCGGGAUUGUGGCGGUUGCCUUUAUUGGUGGCCGCCGCGAGAACUUGUCUAAACCUUAUCAUCUAGAGGAAGGUGAAGUCGUAACA